AGAAUAAAAGAUAAUAUUUUCCCAGGCAGAAGAAAAAGGACAAACAGAAACAUCUCUAGCAGAACGAGUGGAACGAGAAAGUUCAAUGACCCAAGCAGACAGAGUGGACCGAUGCUAUCCGACCGAACAGAGAUCACCCGAGGGGGAGUGCCCCGAGGCGAGUAAGAGUCCCAAGCCGGAGCCAAGCAAGGAAAGAAAAGAGAUAGUUUCAAAUCCCAACC
This 221-nucleotide long non-coding RNA is filed under the name Oryza brachyantha (malo sina). RNAcentral describes it as "long non-coding RNA (OBRA_LNC003589)". The record is from RNAcentral. Lineage: Eukaryota; Viridiplantae; Streptophyta; Magnoliopsida; Poales; Poaceae.